UUUUUUUUCUUUUUUUAAGAGUUUAUUUUUAAAUAAUCACUACACCCGAUGCAGGACUCAAACUCACAACCCUGAGAUCGAGAGUCACACGCUCUACUGACUGAGCCAGCCAGGCACCCCAGUAUUUUUUUUAAUGCAUCAUCCGUUGCGACCAAUUUUUUUUUAGACCUUUUAAACGUCAGGCUUUAUAUCCUUUCUUUUUCAUCAACUACAAAGGUAACCUACACUCAUUACAGAAAUUUCAAACAGUAUACAAAUAUAACUCAGAAAGUAAAAGUCCUUCAUAAUUCCACUCUCCAGAGAUAACCAUUGUUAAUAGCUUUGUUUAUUCUUCAAAUUUGGAAUGAAUAUACUAAUUAAAUUAUAUGCAUUGCAGAUUUAUUAUAUAGAAAAUGUUAAGUUUUUUAAGAGAAAUAGGAUCGACCAUUCUACAUAUACAGUGUUCUGCAAGCUGCAUUUCUUCAACCUCUGAAUAUAUAUCUUGAAAAUCUUCUCCUGUCAGUAGACUUAGAUCUACAUCACUCUUUUUAAUGGCUACAAAGUAUUCUAUUAUAUGGACAGACCAUAAUUUAUGUCACCAGUCUCUAAAAGACAGACAUUUGGGUUGGCUUCCAAUUUUUUGCUGUUAAAACAAUGCAGCAGUUACAUCCUUCUGUAUAUAUGUUUAAAAUAUUUCUGUAAGCUGAAUUCUGUCAAACAGGUUUUUGUUUGGGGUCAUAGAAUACGCUGAACUUUUUUUUUUCCAAUUAUCCACUUAACUUUAAUUCAUACUACCAAAAAUCUUCAAGGUAGCAAUUGCUGUAAUUGCUUAAUUAUUUUGAUUUUCAUCUUUAAUACUUUUUUGAAAAUAAUUUAUUCUACUCAAAAUUAAUUGCAUAGGUAUUAAAUCAAAAGGUAUGUUUUAACACAUUCCUGAUUAGUUAUUAGAAAAUAUGCAUUGUCCACACUCUACAUAAAAAUAUCCCAAUUUUAAGAAAUUUCACGUAUCCCAAAAAUCAUUGAAAAACAAGUCAUAAGUCUCACAUUAGAAUCUGGGAGUUCUUCUUUGACUCCAAUAGAUUCACUAUAAUCACAGUUUUGUCUGUCUUCAAAAAGGGAGGGAGAUAUGCAAGGAUCCCCAUCACACAGGUAGCUUCAAAAUCCAACCCCAAAAAGCCUACCAAAUUGUCACUCCUAAACAAGUGCAUAAGAAACUCAAAUACAAAAAGUCAUGACAUUCAGAGUCUGGUUUCCAGUAAAUUACCCAGGACACAUUUCAUGGCAAACAAAAUACUUGCCGAGAAAUACAGUUACCAGGGCAACCAUAACUGACCUUUUAUGUUUUAUUUAUCAAUAGUAUUGCUAAAUUAUUCUCAUUCUUGGAAACAAAGGAGAAAAAUGUAUUAUAAACAAUGAUAAUUAAUUAAGGGUCCCCUGCUCCACAGUGAAUCACUCCUGCCAAAUCUGUGUUUAUCCAACAGACGUGCUGUUGUCUGCUUCUCGUCUAGGCUAAGGAUGGAGAUAGCAGAUCCCAAGAAGGCAUGCACCAGUUACUGAUACUAAACCUGAAACUCGGGAUCCCUGGGUGGUGCAGCGGUUUAGCGCCUGCCUUUGGCCCAGGGCGCGAUCCUGGAGACCCGGGAUUGAAUCCCACAUCGGGCUCCCGGUGCAUGGAGCCUGCUUCUCCCUCUGCCUAUGUCUCUGCCUCUCUCUCUCUCUCUCUCUCUCUGUGAUUAUCAUAAAUAAAUAAAAAUUAAAAAAAAAAUAAACCUGAAACUCUACAUGGAAAGAACGUGAGAGUCCGUUCUCAACAGACAUUCGGACACAUAGGGGAACAGGUGUUCCCUUCACAACACCUGGCACUUAGUAGGUAGUUACUCUCGAAAUAUGGAAUAAAUAUAUGAACCUUAAAACAAACAGAUGCAUAAUGAAUAAAUCCACCUAUCUUUCAAAUUUGUAAGACUAAAAAUCCCAAACCUUUCACCAUUUAAGAUCUACCCUUUUAUGAGUUCCAAAUAUUCUCAUCUAAUCAAAUAUCUCCAUUUAGAAAAACAUACUUUUUGUUUUAGCAGCCCAGCAUAUGGCCAUACCUGCUCGACCUCAACAGAGAGAAGGGGAAACAUAGCUGGGAGAGAAAGAAAAUCAUAUAGAAUUCCCGGUGUCCAAAAGAGGACAUUAAGAGCAUUUAUAAUGAAUUGGAUUUAUUCAUAAUCCUUAUCAAGGAGGCAGCAGGGUACAGGGAAGAGAGCCCUGGGCUGCAAAUCAGAAGCCUGGAGCUUGGUCCUGGCCUUGGAUUUAAUGACUAAGUCCCUUCAAUUUUCAGACUCUCACUGCCCUCAUUUACAAGAUAAGGAGGUUAGUCUGUGUGACCUCCCAAGUCCCUCUAGCUCUAAAUGUCCGUGACAUACUGACCUGCCUUCCAUCUCAACGAGAAAAGCUUAUCAAGGACACCUCCAGAGGGAAGCAUCUACCUAGGAAAGAGGAGAACCCAGGCCACCGCCCCAGCUAGGCCAAUGGGCAGUGAUCACUACAGCUCAUCAGCCAAAGUAUUUUGGCUCCCCCCUGUGUCCAUCCAUCCUCUGCUGGCACAACCUGAGCCCCGUCCCCGCUUUCCCAAGGAGCUGCACCACAUGCAAUCUAACUCACACCCACCCUUGCUCUCAAGCCCUCCUCCGCCCCAUUCCCUCUGUCAAGGGAGAAAACAGGGUCUCUUCUCCUCCCAGCCUUCCUCAUGUGGUGCUUGCUUCCUCAACGACCAACUCUCACUUCUUUAUCUUCUAUCUCCCUCAGCAUCACCUCCUUCUUUAAAAAAAAAAAAAAAAAGGUUUUAUUUACUUAUUUGAGAGAGAGAGAACACAGGGGAGGAGGGCAGAGGGAGAGGUAGCAGCAGACUCACCGCUGAGCAGGGAGCCUGAUGUGGGCCUCAAUCCCAGGACCUGGAUCAUGACCUGAGCCAAAGGCAGAUGCCCAAACAAUUGAGCCACCCAGGCGCCCAUAUUACCUUCUAUUAUAUAUAUAUAUAUAAUAUAUAUAUAUACACAUAUUUUCAAGUCUAUUUUAAAUACAUAUAUAUUUUUUAAUCCCCCUCAAUCUUACACCUCCUAUUUCCACUUCC
This 3094-nucleotide long non-coding RNA is filed under the name Canis lupus familiaris (dog). RNAcentral describes it as "lncRNA (ENSCAFG00845004416.1)". The record is from RNAcentral. Lineage: Eukaryota; Metazoa; Chordata; Mammalia; Carnivora; Canidae.